RNAcentral lists this ribosomal RNA (450 nucleotides) under uncultured bacterium. RNAcentral's name for it is "partial 16S ribosomal RNA". It matches the Rfam family "Bacterial small subunit ribosomal RNA", at positions 354 to 796 of the family's 1533-position model. The record is from RNAcentral.
GUGGGGAAUAUUGGACAAUGGGCGAAAGCCUGAUCCAGCCAUGCCGCGUGCAGGAUGAAGGCCUUCGGGUUGUAAACUGCUUUUGUACGGAACGAAAAGACUCCUUCUAAUAAAGGGGGUCCAUGACGGUACCGUAAGAAUAAGCACCGGCUAACUACGUGCCAGCAGCCGCGGUAAUACGUAGGGUGCAAGCGUUAAUCGGAAUUACUGGGCGUAAAGCGUGCGCAGGCGGUUAUAUAAGACAGAUGUGAAAUCCCCGGGCUCAACCUGGGAACUGCAUUUGUGACUGUAUAGCUAGAGUACGGUAGAGGGGGAUGGAAUUCCGCGUGUAGCAGUGAAAUGCGUAGAUAUGCGGAGGAACACCGAUGGCGAAGGCAAUCCCCUGGACCUGUACUGACGCUCAUGCACGAAAGCGUGGGGAGCAAACAAGAUUAGAAACCCCUGUAGUCC